AUUGAUAAUGCAUUCUCUUGUCAUUGUUUAAAAGAAUCUUAAGUAGUGUGAUAUAAAAAAAUGCCAAUAUGCAUUAUUUUAAAAAAUAAUUAGAGGAAGAAAUUAAAAUGAUCACUAUUUUAUUUGCUAAUAUUUUAGAUUAUAAGAGGUGGUUUGAUAAAUAAUAAAGUAAAAACUAUAAUGAGAUAUAUUGAGUAAAAUUAGUGGCAUUUAAUCAAAUACCACUCUUUGCCCUAAAUGCACUUUCUAUAAUAAAAUAAACAUUAGGAUGGAUGUAAAAAAAAAAAAAAAAAAAAAAGACUGACAUACCUUUACAAUGCUAUGGCUUAAACCUUUUCAAAUGUUAAAGAAAUAAUUUUGAUCAAGAAUAAUACCAAAUAUUCAAACUUCCUACAUAUAAUUAGAUAUGAAACUAGCAAAAUAUGUUUCAAAUACAACUACACAUAAAGAUAUGAAGAAGUAAAGUCAUAAUUCUACAGUAAAUUUUAUUAUUUUCUUGAGUCUGUCUUUUGGAAAUAGAUUUAUAGGGUGUUACAGGGAAAUUUUAUUAUGCAACUUCCCAGGGUCACACCAAGAAUUAUUAAGAUAAAUCCUGCCCUCAACUCUCAAUACAAAGAAAUGGAAAAUUUGCCACAUUAUCUAAGUAUUUAUUACAGUUAUUUUGUUUUGUGAAGGCCAUGUUGGAAGAAGGAAAAAGGAAGACAGACACAGGAUUAAGAUAAAUGAGAAAAUUAAACGAAAAUAAGCAAACAACUAAAGGUAAAUGAUGCUAGAUAUGGAAGGCACUGAAGGAGAUCCAACACAAGCGUAAUUGGUACCUCUGGGGAAAAAAAAAUAAGCAAAUGAAAUGGGGAAAAUAUCCGAAGAUAUAAUUUAAGAAAACUUACCAGAAAUAAAGUAAAAUUUGAAUAUGUAGAAUGAAAGGACACAUUUCCUUGGGAAACUGACAGAAUGAUAAAUACCAAGCUGGUGAGAGAACAGAUCUUCAAAGAUGAAAAAACAACUAUUUUGUCUUUCAGGUAAAAACAUCAAGUUACUAAAGAAGGACAAGAUAGGCUGGCUCGAAAGCUAUCUGCAGAAACAGUGGAGUUAUGGCUACAAUGUCUUCUGAGAAACAAAGCAUUACCCUACUAGUAUAUACUCAGUCAGGCUGUCAUUCAAGAAUAAAGACAACAUACAAAGAAUAUUCAAACAUGCAAUGUUCAAGAAAGACAACUAUUAUGAUCCUAUCUUUAAUAAACUACUGAAGACUGAAUUUCAUCUGUGAGAUAAAUGAGGAAAAUAUGGCAAAAGGAUGACAAAAAGAAUUGAAUCCAUUUGAAUGUACAACCAAUAUUAAAAAAUUAUGAGAAUUAUAGUUAAGGAACAGAAUGCAAAUGUUAAAACCAAUACAACUUAAAAAAAUAUGAGCAAAACUUUCUCAACAGGAACUGAGGAAAAGGAAUGAACUUAUGAAACAGAGGUCAGAAUGAAGUGGAAUGACAUAUUCAAAGCACUGAAAGAAGGAAACUAUCAAGCAAGAAUUCCACAUAGAGCAAAACUAUCAUUCAAAAAUAAAUGCAAAAUUAAGCCAUUUUCAGAUAAACAAAGAUAUAUAACCUGAUUUACAUGAAAUUCUAAAGGAAGUCCUACAGGUUGAAAGGAAAUGAUACUGACAGUAACUAAAGACCACAGGAGACAUAAAGAACACCAGAAAAGGUGGACGUCCAGUGAGACCAGCACAUGCUCUGCUUUAUACAGGGAUGACACAUCUAUUUAAAGCUUUGCAAACUGGCUACCCUAGCAUCACUAUCACCACCAUCUCCAUCAUCAACAUGGAGUAGCUCCAGCUGAACUCAACAAACCUGAAUCACGACAGUGAUCGUUUUUCAUAGACAUAAAGGUUCUAGGUAGGGUGCAGGAUUGAGUCUGCAGGCAUUAAGUGAAGGAAAAGCACAGCCACCAAUGGAAGAGUGGAAGUGAAGAUGUAGCAAUUUCAUGUGGCUGUUUUUGUGCUUAUGCUUUUCUAGAUACUGAGACAGAAAUGUCUUAGGAGAGGUGGAGAACAGUCAAGGGAAAGCACCUGUACUGCUCUUUCAAUCUAGUGAAAUAAAAGAGUGAGCUCAGUUAUUUCCAUUGCUAUGCCCAAAGUGAUCGUUUUUAUUAUUUAUUUUAAUAAUCUGGAAUAAUGGGACAUUUGAGCAAUCAACAAAAGUAUAUUAUAUGGAAGGGAAUAAAGAAAGACUCCCAUCAUCUCAGACUAAGAACAACCUAGGGGGUGUAUCAAGACAGUUUAUUUUUUAGUGGUAGAAGCAUACCUAGUAAGCCACUGAAUAUACUGGAACAAUCAAGUGUGCCUUCUCCUUCCAUUAACCUUCUGUUAAACUAGUCAAUAAUAAGACUUUGUUAAGUUUCUACAGAAAUAUACACUUAGCCAUAUUUUUAACCAGUUAUUGCAAAUGAAAAGAACAGUCUAAUAUAUAUGAACUUGAGGGGUCAGUGUCAAUAUACCAGAUGGGAAAGCUGAAAUUCAGAGGAUAAAAUUUUAAGAAUUUUGUUCAGAAGUCAGUGAUGCAGAGGCUAAAAUCAGAGCUUUGAGAACUGCAAAAAAAAAAAAAACCACAAAAAAAACUAGAGGCUGAGAGUAGUUGUCGAUAAAAUGUAACUUCUGCGUAUAGCAAACAACUGGUAACGACCUGAAGUUGUACGAUAUUCCCUUUUGAGACCAGGAAUGAGAGUAGGAUGCAUGCUAUGACCACGGCAAUUCAAUGUUAUACCAGAGAUCUUAAUGAAGGUGAUAAGGUAAGAAAAAUCUAAAAUAAAAAUUAUGAGAAAAGCACUAAUGAUUGAAA
Vicugna pacos (alpaca) is the source of this 2831-nucleotide non-coding RNA. The record is from RefSeq and is a predicted model, not a curated record. NCBI's taxonomy places the organism in Eukaryota, Metazoa, Chordata, Mammalia, Artiodactyla, Camelidae.